This 253-nucleotide ribosomal RNA is filed under the name uncultured bacterium. RNAcentral's name for it is "partial 16S ribosomal RNA". It matches the Rfam family "Bacterial small subunit ribosomal RNA", at positions 524 to 776 of the family's 1533-position model. The record is from RNAcentral.
UACGUAGGUGACCAGCGUUGUCCGGAUUUACUGGGCGUAAAGAGCGCGCAGGCGGUCGUUCAAGUCGAGUGUGAAAGCCCCCGGCUCAACUGGGGAGGGUCAUUCGAUACUGAUCGACUGGAAGGCAGGAGAGGGAAGCGGAAUUCCCGGUGUAGUGGUGAAAUGCGUAGAUAUCGGGAGGAACACCAGUGGCGAAGGCGGCUUCCUGGCCUGUUCUUGACGCUGAGGCGCGAAAGCUAGGGGAGCAAAUGGG